UCGGGAGUCGGGUGGACGUAGUGUUCGCCAACCCGGUCAGAUCCGGAAGGAAGCAGCCGUAACGAUUUUUCUGCGGGUCGCCCGGCUUCUACUCA
This is a non-coding RNA of Sphingomonadales bacterium EhC05, 95 nucleotides long. It matches the Rfam family "Bacterial small signal recognition particle RNA". Rfam says of the family: The signal recognition particle (SRP) is a universally conserved ribonucleoprotein involved in the co-translational targeting of proteins to membranes. Archaeal SRP consists of a 7S RNA and homologues of the eukaryotic SRP19 and SRP54 proteins. NCBI's taxonomy places the organism in Bacteria, Pseudomonadati, Pseudomonadota, Alphaproteobacteria, Sphingomonadales. The record is from Rfam.